Molecule: ribosomal RNA, 444 nt
Filed under: uncultured bacterium
Lineage: Bacteria
Description: bacterial SSU rRNA
Rfam family: Bacterial small subunit ribosomal RNA
Source: RNAcentral
GGUAUGUAAACUUCUAUCAGCAGGGAAGAAAAUGACGGUACCUGACUAAGAAGCCCCGGCUAACUACGUGCCAGCAGCCGCGGUAAUACGUAGGGGGCAAGCGUUAUCCGGAUUUACUGGGUGUAAAGGGAGCGUAGACGGAUGGACAAGUCUGAUGUGAAAGGCUGGGGCUCAACCCCGGGACUGCAUUGGAAACUGCCCGUCUUGAGUGCCGGAGAGGUAAGCGGAAUUCCUAGUGUAGCGGUGAAAUGCGUAGAUAUUAGGAGGAACACCAGUGGCGAAGGCGGCUUACUGGACGGUAACUGACGUUGAGGCUCGAAAGCGUGGGGAGCAAACAGGAUUAGAUACCCUGGUAGUCCACGCGGUAAACGAUGAAUGCUAGGUGUCGGUGACGAAGUCAUUCGGUGCCGCCGCACACGCAUUAAGCAUUCCACCUGGGGAGUA